Molecule: long non-coding RNA, 319 nt
Organism: Xyrauchen texanus (razorback sucker)
Lineage: Eukaryota; Metazoa; Chordata; Actinopteri; Cypriniformes; Catostomidae
Exons: 4
Source: RefSeq, a predicted model, not a curated record
AUCAAACCAAGCUCAACGCAGAUUUAACUGACCAGCUAGGCUACCACACAUGCUGAAAACAUGAUGCAAACUGUUGAGACGAAGUAGAUGACUUCAGUAAGGCAAGGCAAAAGCUGAAGGACUACAACAGAAAUGGAACAGCAGUCCUCCAGUCAGAGGAUGAGAGCUCAAUGGCAAAAAGGAGAAGAAAAGCGACACAUUACCCAGGAUUUGAAAACGGCAGUACUGACUCUGAAACUGAGCAGACUCCAAAAAGAAGACCAGAGUCUCGGCCUUGGCCUCAACCUCUCGCUAUUAGCGCUACACUUCCUAGUCUCCC